RNAcentral lists this unclassified non-coding RNA (305 nucleotides) under plant metagenome. Its description in RNAcentral is "partial contains 5.8S ribosomal RNA, internal transcribed spacer 2, and large subunit ribosomal RNA". The stretch from base 1 to 104 matches the Rfam family "5.8S ribosomal RNA", at positions 51 to 154 of the family's 154-position model. The record is from RNAcentral.
AAAUGCGAUAAGUAAUGUGAAUUGCAGAAUUCAGGGAAUCAUCGAAUCUUUGAACGCACAUUGCGCCCGCCAGUAUUCUGGCGGGCAUGCCUGUCCGAGCGUCGUUUCAACCAUCAAGCCCCCGGGCUUGUGUUGGGGACCUGCGGCUGCCCGCAGGCCCUGAAAACCAGUGGCGGGCUCGCUGUCACACCGAGCGUAGUAGCAAUCACCUCGCUCAGGGCGUGCUGCGGGUUCCGGCCGUUAAACAGCCUUACAAAACCCAAGGUUGACCUCGGAUCAGGUAGGAAGACCCGCUGAACUUAAGC